UACGAAGGUCCCAAGCGUUGUUUGGAAUUACUGGGCGUAAAGAGUCUGUAGGCGGCGAAGUAAGUCAGAUGUGAAAUCCCGGGGCUCAACAUCGGAACUGCAUCCGAUACUGCUUCGCUUGAGGGUCGGAGGGGAGUCUGGAAUUCUCGGUGUAGCAGUGAAAUGCGUAGAUAUCGAGAGGAACACUAGUGGCGAAGGCGAGACUCUGGACGACACCUGACGCUGAGAGACGAAGGCCAGGGGAGCGAAAAGGAUUAGAUACCCGU
RNAcentral lists this ribosomal RNA (266 nucleotides) under uncultured prokaryote. RNAcentral's name for it is "partial 16S ribosomal RNA". It matches the Rfam family "Bacterial small subunit ribosomal RNA", at positions 524 to 789 of the family's 1533-position model. The record is from RNAcentral.